This 141-nucleotide unclassified non-coding RNA is filed under the name soil metagenome. RNAcentral's name for it is "partial internal transcribed spacer 1". The record is from RNAcentral.
CCGAGUUUUCAACUCCCAAACCCCUGUGAACAUACCUUACCGUUGCUUCGGCGGCGCGCCCCCAGGGCGCCCGCCGGGGACCACCAAACUCUUGUUUUCCGAACUGGAUUCUGAGCAGCCGCAAGGCAAACAAAUACAUUA